AACGAACGCUGGCGGCAGGCUUAACACAUGCAAGUCGAACGGGCACUUCGGUGUCAGUGGCAGACGGGUGAGUAACACGUGGGAACGUACCCUUUGGUUCGGAAUAACCCUGGGAAACUAGGGCUAAUACCGGAUACGGCCGUGAGGCGAAAGGUUGACUGCCGGAGGAUCGGCCCGCGUCCGAUUAGCUAGUUGGUGUGGUAAUGGCGCACCAAGGCGACGAUCGGUAGCUGGUCUGAGAGGAUGACCAGCCACAUUGGGACUGAGACACGGCCCAAACUCCUACGGGAGGCAGCAGUGGGGAAUAUUGGACAAUGGGCGCAAGCCUGAUCCAGCCAUGCCGCGUGAGUGAUGACGGCCUUAGGGUUGUAAAGCUCUUUUACCUGGGAAGAUAAUGACGGUACCAGGAGAAUAAGCCCCGGCUAACUUCGUGCCAGCCGCCGCCGUAACAC
Molecule: ribosomal RNA, 452 nt
Filed under: uncultured bacterium
Lineage: Bacteria
Description: bacterial SSU rRNA
Rfam family: Bacterial small subunit ribosomal RNA
Source: RNAcentral